UGGGAUGGCAUUUGCUCUCUGCUGAUCUCUGAAAGUUUCAGAAUUCAGAGGUGCAGCAGCAUGAAGCUUGGCAAUGGCAGACGCCAAUACAUGGCCCCGUUUGAAGAAGGCUUGGCGAUUAGCAUGAUUGAGGACGUACACGGGAGGAGCUUGAUCCACGACAAUCUACAAAGUGCACAUCAUGGAACCUGACAACAACCUGAAGCUCACUGAAUUUCUUGGCUUCACUCAUCAUGCAUAAGCCAGCAAAGUAGUCAACACAAUCAGAAAUGAUAAAAGCGAGAUCGUCAAUGGUUGUUUUGUCAGAGGACUUGCAUUAGGCAGCCAUGGAUAUGCAUCCGGAGGUGGCAUGACACAAUUAUCACCAUUGAAGUACACGCGGCGUGGGAAGGCCCAUCCCUUGUCAAAGGUGAAGGCCAUGGAAUCCUUCCGCAGAAGUAUCUCUGACUGUGCAUUUCCAAGUGGACCAGCUUGCAUGAGUAAAUCAUUAUAGAACUUUACUCCCCAGAACAUCGCAGUAUCAUCUAAAAUGAAAGGAAUAAACUCAAUGAGAGAGAGAGAGAGAGAGAGAGAGAGGAAGGAAGAUAUUACAAAUGCACUCCAUUUUUUCAAAAUCAAAUAGAACAGUUUGUGACUUACUUAUCCUGCUUCCAUAUGGAGUAAGUGGUUUGUAGUUGAAGCUAAACAGCUGGGUAAUAUUAUCGAAGUUAGGAUGUUGAACGACCAAAUUCCAUUGUGUGUAAUUCAUGCGGUAGUUGAAGUUCGUAAUUGUGAUCUUGACUCUCCAGUAUUCCUUGUAGUUGAGUUUCACAUGCCAGUGGAUUCUUAUUGGGCACAUGUGGGAAGUACAUUGGACAAGAGGCUGGCCAGUCCAUUUGCCAGGGCCAUCGAUGGCGGAUUGUAAAUAAGCUUCCAGGAGCAGUUUUAUUGUUUUGGCAGCCACAAGAGCAUGUUGGGCAGUUCACAAUCGUGUCGUUAUAAAAUGAUGAGAGAGAUACACAGCAGGAUGGAGUCUUCUGAGCAAGAAAUUGGGAGCUGCAAAUGCAUUUCCUCAAAGCAUGCAAGCAAUUGGUACUGAGCAUAAAAGAGCAACAGAUGAGGUACUUACUCAGAGCUUGGGUUGCCCUGCGCCCAUCCUGGGUGAAAAACUUGGUAGGCCUGACAAUCAUAGCACGCCCACAUGUGUACCCAGGACCUGGGGCCUUAAGAGUGAAGUUCUUAGGCAACUUUACUGUCUUAUUGGUAGUCCCAGCAAGACCUACGCUGAUCUGGAAGGAAGAAGCAGCGUUUGAUGGGUCCUGGUUAAAUGUAUUUAUAACUCCUGCUUUGCAGCAAUUGGCGAUUUGCAUGUUGUAUGGGGUGCCUGGGAGUAGAUCAACAAUCGUGGGAUCUUUCUUGCAGCAGUGGGGUGUGUUGCCCUUGAACUUUGAGCAAUCACCCUGCUCGGUAGUCUGCGCUCCAACCA
Long non-coding RNA from Oryza brachyantha (malo sina), 1465 nucleotides. RefSeq lists it as uncharacterized. The transcript has 4 exons. The record is from RefSeq and is a predicted model, not a curated record. Lineage: Eukaryota; Viridiplantae; Streptophyta; Magnoliopsida; Poales; Poaceae.